CUACCGGGAUGCAGCAGGCGAGAAAACUUUGCAAUGUGCGAAAGCACGACAAGGUUAAUCCGAGUGGUUUGUGCUAAACGAACCUUUUGACAGUCCUAGAAACACUGUUGAAUAAGGGGUGGGCAAGUUCUGGUGUCAGCCGCCGCGGUAAAACCAGCACCUCAAGUGGUCAGGAUGAUUAUUGGGCCUAAAGCAUCCGUAGCCGGCUCUGUAAGUUUUCGGUUAAAUCUGUACGCUCAACGUACAGGCUGCCGGGAAUACUGCAGAGCUAGGGAGUGGGAGAGGUAGACGGUACUCGGUAGGAAGGGGUAAAAUCCUUUGAUCUAUUGAUGACCACCUGUGGCGAAGGCGGUCUACCAGAACACGUCCGACGGUGAGGGAUGAAAGCUGGGGGAGCAAACCGGAUUAGAUACCCCAGUAGUC
This 423-nucleotide ribosomal RNA is filed under the name uncultured archaeon. RNAcentral's name for it is "partial 16S ribosomal RNA". It matches the Rfam family "Archaeal small subunit ribosomal RNA", at positions 322 to 746 of the family's 1478-position model. The record is from RNAcentral.